Molecule: ribosomal RNA, 489 nt
Filed under: uncultured bacterium
Lineage: Bacteria
Description: bacterial SSU rRNA
Rfam family: Bacterial small subunit ribosomal RNA
Source: RNAcentral
CUACGUGCCAGCAGCCGCGGUAAUACGUAUGUCGCGAGCGUUAUCCGGAAUUAUUGGGCAUAAAGGGCAUCUAGGCGGCCAGAUAAGUCCGAGGUGAAAACUGCCGGCUCAACCAGCAGCUUGCCUUGGAAACUACCUGGCUAGAGUAUUGGAGAGGUGGACGGAACUACACGAGUAGAGGUGAAAUUCGUAGAUAUGUGCAGGAAUGCCGAUGAUGAAGAUAGUUCACUGGACGGCAACUGACGCUGAAGUGCGAAAGCUAGGGGAGCGAACAGGAUUAGAUACCCUGGUAGUCCUAGCUGUAAACGAUGAUUACUGGGUGUGGGCAUGAAGAGUGUCCGUGCCGAAGCAAAUGCGAUAAGUAAUCCGCCUGGGGAGUACGGCCGCAAGGCUGAAACUCAAAGGAAUUGACGGGGACCCGCACAAGCGGUGGAGCAUGUGGUUUAAUUCGACGCAACGCGAGGAACCUUACCAGAUCUUGACAUCCUG